GGUCUGGUGGUGUAACGGCAACAUCCUUGCUUUACCUAUUCCUGGAAGAAAUAUGUUUAGCAAGGGAUCCUUGUUCGACUCAAGGUCAGGCCA
This is a non-coding RNA of Mycena latifolia, 93 nucleotides long. Lineage: Eukaryota; Fungi; Basidiomycota; Agaricomycetes; Agaricales; Mycenaceae. The record is from the annotation of a GenBank genome assembly.